GGGCGUCAAAGUAACCCGUUUUGGGUGAAAUCAGAACCGGGAUGGAGAGAAGGAGAGCGCAGCCUUCCUAUAAAGGUAAAUAACUGAUCUGACAGGCCCAGACGGAUGACGCUUCUUGCAUGGCGGAGCUUGGUGAUGAUGUUCCGUUUCAUGUCUGGUGGCCUUACGCGGCUGGUGCAAUCACCCGUAUAGCCGUGCAGUGAAGAA
RNAcentral lists this small RNA (207 nucleotides) under uncultured Faecousia sp. Its description in RNAcentral is "RT-2 RNA". It matches the Rfam family "RT-2 RNA". Rfam says of the family: Coriobacteriales (Actinobacteria), Clostridiales (Firmicutes). Downstream gene Lineage: Bacteria; Bacillati; Bacillota; Clostridia; Eubacteriales; Oscillospiraceae. The record is from RNAcentral.